Molecule: long non-coding RNA, 2329 nt
Organism: Passer domesticus (house sparrow)
Lineage: Eukaryota; Metazoa; Chordata; Aves; Passeriformes; Passeridae
Exons: 3
Source: RefSeq, a predicted model, not a curated record
UUUUUUGAGGAAUGCAACUUUCUGAAAUUCCAGAUUGUGUCAAGUGGAGUACAUUUUUCAGCAGAUUCAUAAUGUCACAAAAGGGAUUUGCUCUGUGUCCAAGAUGAUAUUUGAGAUUGAGGCUUCAAAUGAGUUAAGCAUUGUGAUUAGGAGAGGGAGGGUGAAAAGCUUUUAAUGACUCUAUUUAGGAGUUAUCGUGGGUGGUUUUGAGGGCAGCAGGGUGAGAAACAGUGUCUACAGCACACAAGCUCAUCCAUUGCAGUCAGAGAAAUGCUAUGUAACUUUCUCUCUCUAACCCAGGUGCCACUCACAAUAACACGCUUGGACUCAGUGUGAAGCCAGAGACUCAAGGACCUAGGCGCACUCAGGAGAGGACAAGUAGCCGACUUGCUGGGAGUUGGCCCAUAUAACACAAAGCUCAUAUGUUGUUUUUGGUUUACUUUAUUGCAGCUGACUGAGAGGUUAACAGGCAAUUGUGGCAGAGGUGCUCUGAGGCAUACUCAUUUCAGGUCCAGCAUGGACUCACAUCACCGGUCAUCCAAAAGAUAAGUUGGGGGCCACCGCCUGGAGAUGGGAUGAUAGGAGAGUAGUGGGUUGGAAAUUCCUGGGACAGAUUUAAAAAUUAGCAGGGGGAAAAGCAAUGCCCUCUCAAGACACCCAAAAGGAGAGGCUCUACCUUUGCUAACAGCUGUAGGGUGCGCAGUGCAGAACAGUUCCAGUCUGUGUUGUGUUGUCCGGUGUAUACUGUGUUACCUAGUGUGUCUUUGGGGUCCCUCGGAUCAGAUAUCUCUGCCUCUUUCCCCUCGAGGCCCUUACCACAAGCAUCAGCCGUAGGUUCUUGAACGCUCGCACUUCUCUGCAUGAUGCCGAUAUCAUUUGUUCUUUUACUGGCGGGCUCGGCCGUGUUUCCGAGUCACAUCGCAGAAGCGUCGAGUAGGACAUGUUCUGAGGCCUUGCUCCCAGCCAUAUCACCAUCCAUCUUUUCUAGCCAUGGGCUGUAAUGUCCUGGAGUUCAUAAGAUUGUAUGUGUUUGCGUGUCUCAUGUCUUUCACUGUAGGCCUUUGAGGAAUCGUUCAGAAAACUGGCAUCAUUCUUAGCAUCUGUGAUGUCUUCUUGAAUAUGCGCAUAGGUAGAGGAUGCUGACCACAGGAUUUACAGGCAUCCAUCUUUGCAGUUCUUGGAAGAAAUAAAUCCGUUAGCAUCUUCUUCCUCCAGGGUUCUCUGAGCCUCAGUGGCUCACCAUCGGUCUCACCUCAGUCAUUUCAUUUUGCAUUCUCUCGGUCCUUGCAGUCAUUCCUCUUGCCCUGAGAUUUCUGUUCCUGUUGUGUCCCCAUUGUUUGUCCUGUCCUGUGUCACGGGUGUCUGCACAUAUUUGUGUUGGAGCUGCUCUGCCCUGCUGCAUAGUCUGGUGUGAUAGGACAAAUCCUGGGGGCUUGAAAUUUGUAGUGUGGGGUGUAGUUGGUCUCUACCUGGUAUUCCUAGGUUGACCCAAGAUGUCUGGAGCUGUGAAGUUGUCCUGCAGCCCUUUGACUUUUGUCCUGACUUUCUUUCAGAUGCAGAUGGAUAAAAUCCAUAGCAGAGCACCCCAUCCCAGGUUGCUUCUGAGUAGCCCUCAGGAAUGACCAAGGAGUUGUGGUGAGUCGGGGAGGUAUCGAGGAGGAGCCGGGGUCCGCUCAGUUCUCAGCUGUGCUACAUCACCUCGUCUCCUCUGAGACGACAGCGUCAGUCUCGGAGUUCGGCCGAAGCGUGCGGCCCGAGGACCCAGUCACUCUUAGGAGGCGGAGACGACAGCCCGGUGACAGCAGGAACCUCCCAGACAGCCUGGUGGCCUUCCUUUGCACCUGAUGUGGAUUCUCAUUCCUGGACAUGCAAGAGAUAAGUUGAGGGCUAUGACUCACAGAGGGGAUGGAAGGGGGCUGCUGCAUCAGGACUCCCUGGGAGGGAUUUUUGAGUCAGGCUUGGAGAUGAGGCUAUCCAGGAAAAGUCAUCUUACGGCCACACAAAAGCAAAGUGUCACUUUUGAUCCCAGUGCUGUGAUCAGGAGGGCAGAGCAGUCCCGGUGUGUAUUGUGUCACUUGUCUAUUGUGCAUUAUGUGUUGUUUGUAUGUCUCAUGUCUUUUUUCUUAGCCCUUUGAGUGGCCUGUCAGAAACCCUGGCAUCAUUCUUGGCAUCUGUGAUCUCUGCAUUUCUUGGCCUGGCACCAAUGCCAUAGGACUUUUGUCUCAGGCUCUCUGAUAGGCAUGAGAAGCGCAUCUCUCUUUAGAAGCUUCCGGUCAGAUGUCUUUGAAGGUCUUGUUCUGAGCUGAAGGGACAGCUGCAGCCUGCAAGG